Anarrhichthys ocellatus (wolf-eel) is the source of this 4657-nucleotide long non-coding RNA. RefSeq lists it as uncharacterized. NCBI's taxonomy places the organism in Eukaryota, Metazoa, Chordata, Actinopteri, Perciformes, Anarhichadidae. The record is from RefSeq and is a predicted model, not a curated record. The transcript has 3 exons.
UAGCAUUUACACCUGUGCUGUUCCUGCUGCCACAUGUCAGAAAGAGAAGGAGAAGACCAGUGCACUAUGCUAACUAAAAGUCAUGAUGUAGUUGUGUUCAUCCUGUGUAGCAGUGCUGGGAUGGGGCCUUGAUCUCAGUUAAUGGGAAGGUAGCGGGUGACACCUGGUGGUGAACAUGUGCACUUACAGCUCAUUCUCCCUUCAGAUCACCCAACACUAGAGCCCCGGCACUUCAUCGUUGAGAGGGUGGUGAACGAGCACCACCAAGACUUCAUGUUUCUGGAGUGCAUCAAGUUCAUAAAUGAGAUGAAGACCGGUCCAUUUGCGGAACACUCCAACCAGCUGUGGAACAUCAGUGCUGUUGCUUCCUGGUCCAAAGUCAACCAGGGCCUGAUCAGAAUGUACAAGGCCGAGUGUAUGGAGAAGUUCCCUGUGAUCCAGCACUUCAAAUUUGGUAGCCUGCUGUCCAUCCAGCCAGGGAAGCCUUGACGCUCAGGCGACGCACACAAUGGAAAGACCAAAAUCCCAACAGUUUUCCCUUCCUCUGGCAUCUUCUCGUGCAAAUAAAACAGUAGCAAAAACCAACCACAUGUAGUUUGACACACGGUUUCCCACACGUGCACGCAUGUGGUCAUGAAAGCUUGUAGGCCAUCCAUAACUUUAAUGCAGAGCAUGUUGUGGAUGACCUUUUAUGAUUUUGAAACAUCUUUAUAUAUUUUUUUCUCAUUUUAUUUAAAUAUUGGAUAGUUUAAAUCGGUUUCCUGAGGGAUUCUUUUUUGUUCUUUUUUUAAAGUCUACUCAUGUUUGAAUAUUCCUCAAAAGUGUGGCUCCUCAUGAGUAGAGACUUUGUGUGUCUUCUUUAAACUCUUUUGUCAUUCUUUUUCAACUUUAGAUAUUUUCUUGGUUUUGCUUUUAAGGCCAAAUGUUUUAUUUGAAUGCAAAUGUACUAACAUUUUGAUUGCCCAGUUAUCCUAACAUGUAAGUCACAUUAAUAAUUUGCUAAGAAAUGUGUGUUUGAGUGUUUUUUUUCUUAAUCAAAAUGUCUUGACAGUUCAAUGUCUUGCUCAAAGAGGAGAAAGUAAAGGGUUAGGUUUUCAAAGCUUCUGUAACAGCCCAUCCGUGUAAUGUUCAGAGUUUAGUCAUCUUGGUCACAAUCUUUGCAUGAAAUCCCUCUUUCAUUUUCCCCUCCAGUCUGUCAACUAUCAAGCUUUUCCCUCAAAAUUCUCAACCCAGGUGAAACAUUGUACUUUCUUACCCUGGGUUUUAAAUGAGUGUUAAAUUCUGCAUGUGAAAACAAUUGGCACAUUUUAAAGAACAUUGCAUUUGUUUUUAAUGUAAAAACAAACAAACAAUUUUAAUUACAUUGACCUGUCAAACCUGAUUUAAUAAAUUUCUCAUCUUUUAUCUGGUGACCCAACCAUGAACUUUGUUCUCUGUUUCCCUGCUACGUUAAAGCUAUCACGUUGAAAAUGUCCCAUGCUAACACCCCCUAUGCUCCCUGCUGAUUUGAAAAGUACUUGGAUCACAUAAAGAUUCUGCACAUAAUGACUAAGUCAGAAAUAGGUUGCUUUGUCUCUUCAUCCUCUUUCAGCUGAAUCACAUGUAACAGGCUAAAUUUUGGGGUGAACAUCAUUUUUGCUUGAAUCCUGAAAAAGAGGACCCAGAACAAUCGGACAACAUUAAUGGUAGCCUGCCGCUGCAGCAACGACAUGAUUUGACAUGAAGUUAACUGCAACAAAACAUCGCUCUAAAGCGAAGCCGUCCAUGGCUGAUAUGAGAGGUGAUGUGUGAGAAUACUCCAGCCUACAGUAGGUGACGUUCCACUGUCGGGUGUUCUAACAGAGGAUCGCACUGGACAGACCUGCUGUAACAAAACAUCUAAAAGAGCUCUCAGUAGAUUGGCAGCUGUAAUGAUAAUAUGGUGAACAGAAUAUUAAUUUUGCAUCAGGGUUGUCUUUGUUUUAUUUGAGUUAAAUAUGUAUCAUUCAAAUUAAUGAUUUCAGGUCAAAUUCGUGCUUUUUGCUCUUGAUUUUCAUGUUUACGUGGAUGAGAAUUAAGUAUGCGAAAAUUGGUAAAUGCCACAAAUUCUUUAAAAUUGUGAAUUUUAAAAACUUAACCAGUCUCUGUACGAGUGUUUCCUGCAUGAGGCCCACUGUUUUAUUGGAAAUAGUCUUUGGCUUGCUUGUGACCAAGAGAUGAACCCAGCGGUGAGGCAGAUGGAUUCUGAGAUGAGGAGAAAGUGUUGAAUAUUGCAUGAGUCGGGACACUUUACACUACUACUCCAUGUGGGGGGUGAUUUUUUUUUAAUUUUGAUGUGGUAACCAGGAGUAGGGGAACUCCGAUUCAUGUCAAAUUUCUGAUUCCAAAACAUGUAACAGUCCGUUUUUUUACUUAGGACAAUGAAUGGGCUGGAAUUCCCCUUACGUACAGGAUGUUGGACUGCACUGGAAUUAAGCACAGCAGGCCAAAGGCGACUGAGGGACUUUGUACAAAUAUUGUGGAGUAGAACAGCAGCUGUGUCCCCUUUCAGAAGAAGCCUCUGUUGUAUGAUGCAGGUGUGUGCUUCACAGGAGUAUGACGUCAUCAGACGAGAUGCUGACUGGGAAUAAAAGCACUGGUGUAUAGAGCCAAUCCUCUUCACGCCACAUAGUCUGACAGUCAUCGGGUCGUAUUCACCAGGUCUUUGUUCAGUCCCGAUUACAUAGAUCAUAAGAGCUGGUGCGUUGAAAAAGCCACCAUGUAAAAAGUGGAAUCCAGGCCUAAACUCCGCUGUCUGUUGCUCAACAUGCUGUGAAACCAGCAGCCUGCUCUCAACAUCCUCUAAAAAUCAAUAUGGCGUGUUCUCACCAGCCAACUGCCCAACCACACUUUUUGUUAUGUCAUGGCCGGGCUAACUUGGCAGUCAGUCUGCAACUGUUGAUGUGCAGAAGAAACUGUGGAAUAGUUCAUCAAAACAACACGUUGGGUGUGCACAUGAGCAGGGGGUUCAGUUACUUUACAACAACCUGUUGCACAAUAUGUAACCAGCAGGUCUGCAGUGUGUAACUGUGGCUUGACAGUGACAUCAUCGCUCCAGUUAGAGGCUGCUGCCUUCAGGUGUCUGUGAAGGAAAGGCCUUCAGUGUAGAACCACUAACUGUCAUGACAGACGUUAUUCUGCCUGGAUGGCUUUAAUGCCAUCAAAAUGAAUUAAGAAAAAGGUUAUUGUUAACUAAAUGACACUCAUAACCCAAAUAACUGUAAAUAAUGUUUCUGUCCAUCCAGCUAACAGCAUGUGUCAUCUCAGGAAUCCACUUCAUCAUAUAGUGAUAAAGGCAGCAUCAAAACCACCAAACACAAUACAGAGAGAUAAGUGAUUAAUCAGCAUAAUUUAGGCUCUGAUGUCUGAAGGUGGGCAGGUAUGAUAAUCAUACUUAUUUAUCAAUGAGCAUGAUUAUUGUUCUGCUUUCAUUCAUGCAUACUUUUAAAAAAGUGCUGAAAUGCAUAAUCUUUAAAUGCUUUAAACGUUUAGCUGCAGAACAUUUUAAACAAAGUUCCUGGAGUUAAGAGGAGAUGACCACCACUCCUGUGGUGGAUGAAGGCCUACUCAUAAAAUGACUCAUCCCAAUGUGAUCUCACUCCGAACUAAAGUGAACAAUGGACUGUGAUUUCCAUGCUGGGUUGGGGGUACAACUCUGAGGGAAAAGGCUGAAUCUGUUGGGCUCAUUUGGAGGAAUGUUUGGAAUGGGACAGCUGCGUCGACCUGUUCCCACGUGUCUGGGCUUGAAAUGGGAGGCAGCUGAAUACUUAAGAUGGCAGAAAGCAGUUGUGGAAAGUAACUAAGUGCAUUUACUAAGCACUGUACUUAAGUACAAUUCUGAAGUACUCGUACUUUACUUGAGUAUUCCCAUUUCAUGUUACUUUCUACUUCAUUUCCGAUAGAAAUAUUGUACUUUUACCGACAUCUGUAGUUACUUUGAGAUUUUACAUUAUUGGCUUCUAAAACACAAUGCAUUAUUAUAUACUGAACCAGUUUACCCAGCCUUUGUGGCUUGUGACCCUGAUGCCAAAUGUUCCAGAAGUUGUUGCAGUCCCACCAAAGAGAGGUUUUCCCUCUUAACUUCUCAGAUGGCUUCAGUUAAAGACAUCUUCCAGGUUGAAAGUAUACAAUUAUUCACAAAAAGCAAAGAUUAGUGAAAGUAUUACUUCACAACCCCCCACAUGUAUUUUGUGACCUUUUGGAUUAACCUGCCUGUACAAACUGUAUGUGAACUCGUCCGACCUCAACCAACGACAACAGUAAAUACGGUUCACAUUAAUGCAGCAAGUUAUGUCAAGAAAUUGUGUUAUUCUUAAAAUAACAUUCACAGGGCCAUUUUUAAGUGAACGUUUAAGUACAUUCAGAAGAUAAUACUUUUGUACUUUUACUUGAAUGUUUGGAUGAUUUACAAGGACUUUUACUUGUGAUGGUGUUUUUAUAUAUAUGGUUGCAUUGAGGAAAGAUUGGAUAUGUUUCUACACCACUUCAUUGAAUCAGCUAUUCAUCUAUUCAGUACAGUCCAGUAAUCAAUAAGUUCAACGCUUUAUUGUAAAAAGACUGAAAGGCAUGAAAGCCCCAAAUGGACUCAUUAGGAAAUAGAUAAAUAAAUGAAUCAUUGAGUAAUAAACAUUUUUCUUCA